This 609-nucleotide ribosomal RNA is filed under the name Cosmolaelaps trifidus. RNAcentral describes it as "eukaryotic LSU rRNA". It matches the Rfam family "Eukaryotic large subunit ribosomal RNA", at positions 659 to 1265 of the family's 3401-position model. The record is from RNAcentral. Lineage: Eukaryota; Metazoa; Arthropoda; Arachnida; Mesostigmata; Laelapidae.
ACACGGACCAAGGAGUUCAAAUGGCACGCGAGUCAUUGGGUUUCGACACCCGAAGGCGAAGUGAAAUGCAAACGUAUUGUUAUUUGUGGUUGUUCCAUGAUUAAGCGAUAAGCUACUCAUGCUUUCUGGCAUUUGUAGACUACAAGCGUGAUGUUUGAGACCCGAAAGAUGGUGACCUAUGCCUAGUCAAGAUGAAGCCAGAGGAAACUCUGGUGGAUGUCUGAAGUUAUUCUGACGUGCAAAUCGAUAAUCUGAUCUGGGUAUAGGGGCGAAAGACUAAUCGAACCAUCUAGUAGCUGGUUCCUUCCGAAGUUUCCCUCAGGAUAGCAAGCGUACAUCUUUAGUUUCAUCCCGUAAAGCGAAUGAUUAGAGGCAUUGGGGCGUAUAUAGCCUCAACCUAUUCUCAAACUUUUAAUGGGUGUGAGUGUUCUUUCUCAAUUGAAGAACGCUGCUAAAUAAGUGUGCUUAGUGGGCCAUUUUUGGUAAGCAGAACUGGCGCUGUGGGUUGAACCAAUUGUUGAGUUAAAGUGCCUAAAGCUGGAAUGCGCAUGAGAUCUAUAAAGGGUGUUAGUUGCUGAAGACAGCAGGACGGUGGCCAUGGAAGUCGGA